RNAcentral lists this ribosomal RNA (354 nucleotides) under uncultured eukaryote. Its description in RNAcentral is "LSU rRNA". It matches the Rfam family "Bacterial large subunit ribosomal RNA", at positions 2125 to 2478 of the family's 2925-position model. The record is from RNAcentral.
GGGCUUUGUCUGCGCAGGAUAGGUGGGAGGCGUUGAAAGUUUUCUUGCGGGAAGAUUUGAGCCAUUGGUGAGAUACCACUCUAACAAUGCUAGGAUUCUAACCCUAUGUCGUUAUCCGGCUAGGGGACAGUUUCAGGUGGUCAGUUUGACUGGGGCGGUCGCCUCCUAAAAGGUAACGGAGGCGUGCAAAGGUUCCCUCAGGCUGGUUGGAAAUCAGUCGUAGAGUGUAAAGGCAUAAGGGAGCUUGAUUGUGAGACCUACAAGUCGAACAAAGACGAAAGUCGGCCUUAGUGAUCCGGCGGUACCGAGUGGAAGGGCCGUCGCUCAACGGAUAAAAGUUACUCUAGGGAUAAC